AUGCACGCUGGCGGCGUGCCUAAUACAUGCAAGUCGAGCGAACAGACGAGGAGCUUGCUCCUCUGACGUUAGCGGCGGACGGGUGAGUAACACGUGGAUAACCUACCUAUAAGACUGGGAUAACUUCGGGAAACCGGAGCUAAUACCGGAUAAUAUAUUGAACCGCAUGGUUCAAUAGUGAAAGACGGUUUUGCUGUCACUUAUAGAUGGAUCCGCGCCGCAUUAGCUAGUUGGUAAGGUAACGGCUUACCAAGGCAACGAUGCGUAGCCGACCUGAGAGGGUGAUCGGCCACACUGAACUGAGACACGGUCCAGACUCCUACGGGAGGCAGCAGUAGGGAAUCUUCCGCAAUGGGCGAAAGCCUGACGGAGCAACGCCGCGUGAGUGAUGAAGGUCUUCGGAUCGUAAAACUCUGUUAUUAGGGAAGAACAAAUGUGUAAGUAACUAUGCACGUCUUGACGGUACCUAAUCAGAAAGCCACGGCUAACUACGUG
This 495-nucleotide ribosomal RNA is filed under the name uncultured bacterium. RNAcentral's name for it is "partial 16S ribosomal RNA". It matches the Rfam family "Bacterial small subunit ribosomal RNA", at positions 29 to 507 of the family's 1533-position model. The record is from RNAcentral.